GCCACGGUGGUCUAGCGGUCAGAACGCUGGCCUUGUAAUCCUGGGGUCCCGGGUUCAAUUCCCGGUGGUGCUC
Molecule: non-coding RNA, 73 nt
Organism: Zootermopsis nevadensis
Lineage: Eukaryota; Metazoa; Arthropoda; Insecta; Blattodea; Termopsidae
Source: Rfam